GAUUCAUUGGGCGUAAAGCGCGCGUAGGCGGCUCGGAAAGUCGGUCGUGAAAUCCUGGGGCUCAACCCCGGAACUGCGUCCGAUACUUCCGAGCUGGAGGCAGGUAGGGGAGAUCGGAAUUCCUGGUGUAGCGGUGAAAUGCGCAGAUAUCAGGAGGAACACCGGUGGCGAAGGCGGAUCUCUGGGCCUUGCCUGACGCUAGGCGCGAAAGCUAGGGGAGCGAACAGGAUUAGAUACCCUGGUAGUCCUAGCCGUAAACGUUGGGUGCUAGGUGUGGGCGGAUAUCGACCCCGUCCGUGCCGAAGCUAACGCAUUAAGCACCCCGCCUGGGGAGUACGGCCGCAAGGCUAAAACUCAAAGGAAUUGACGGGGGCCCGCACAAGCGGCGGAGCAUGCGGCUUAAUUCGAUGCGACGCGAAGAACCUUACCUGGGCUUGACAUGCAGGGUGAAGCCGGUGAAAGCCGGAGCUCUACGGAGCCUGCACAGGUGGUGCAUGGCUGUCGUCAGCUCGUGCCGUGAGGUGUUGCCUUAAGUGGCGCAACGAGCGCAACCCUUGUCCUCAGUUGCCAGCGGGUCAUGCCGGGAACUCUGAGGAGACUGCCGGUGCCAAACCGGAGGAAGGUGGGGAUGACGUCAAGUCAUCAUGCCCCUUAUGUCCAGGGCUGCACGCAUGCUACAAUGCGCGAUACAGAGGGCUGCGAUCCCGCAAGGGGGAGCGAAUCCCAAAAAGUCGCGCUCAGUUCGGAUCGGGGUCUGCAACCCGACCCCGUGAAGUCGGAGUCGCUAGUAAUCGCGGAUCAGCAAUGCCGCGGUGAAUACGUUCCCGGGCCUUGUACACACCGCCCGUCACACCACGAAAGUGGGCAACACCCGAAGCCGGUGGCCCAACCCUUGUGGAGGGAGCCGUCGAAGGUGGGGCUCGCGAUUGGGGUGAAGUCGUAACAAGGUAACC
RNAcentral lists this ribosomal RNA (953 nucleotides) under uncultured Actinomycetes bacterium. RNAcentral's name for it is "bacterial SSU rRNA". It matches the Rfam family "Bacterial small subunit ribosomal RNA", at positions 548 to 1501 of the family's 1533-position model. The record is from RNAcentral. Lineage: Bacteria; Bacillati; Actinomycetota; Actinomycetes.